Molecule: ribosomal RNA, 515 nt
Filed under: uncultured bacterium
Lineage: Bacteria
Description: partial 16S ribosomal RNA
Rfam family: Bacterial small subunit ribosomal RNA
Source: RNAcentral
GAUGAACGCUGGCGGCGUGCCUAAUACAUGCAAGUCGAGCGAAUGGAUUAAGAGCUUGCUCUUAUGAAGUUAGCGGCGGACGGGUGAGUAACACGUGGGUAACCUGCCCAUAAGACUGGGAUAACUCCGGGAAACCGGGGCUAAUACCGGAUAACAUUUUGAACCGCAUGGUUCGAAAUUGAAAGGCGGCUUCGGCUGUCACUUAUGGAUGGACCCGCGUCGCAUAAGCUAGUUGGUGAGGUAACGGCUCACCAAGGCAACGAUGCGUAGCCGACCUGAGAGGGUGGUCGGCCACACUGGGACUGAGACACGGCCCAGACUCCUACGGGAGGCAGCAGUAGGGAAUCUUCUGCAAUGGACGAAAGUCUGACGGAGCAACGCCGCGUGAGUGAUGAAGGCUUUCGGGUCGUAAAACUCUGUUGUUAGGGAAGAACAAGUGCUAGUUGAAUAAGCUGGCACCUUGACGGUACCUAACCAGAAAGCCACGGCUAACUACGUGCCAGCCGCCGCGGUAA